Molecule: ribosomal RNA, 253 nt
Filed under: uncultured bacterium
Lineage: Bacteria
Description: partial 16S ribosomal RNA
Rfam family: Bacterial small subunit ribosomal RNA
Source: RNAcentral
UACGUAGGGGGCAAGCGUUGUCCGGAUUUAUUGGGCGUAAAGAGCGUGUAGGCGGCCUGACAGGUCUGCUGUGAAAACUCGAGGCUCAACCUCGAGAUGUCGGCGGAAACCGUCUGGCUAGAGUCCGGAAGAGGAGAGUGGAAUUCCUGGUGUAGCGGUGAAAUGCGCAGAUAUCAGGAAGAACACCAGUGGCGAAGGCGACUUACUGGACACAUAUUGACGCUGAGGUGCGAAAGCGUGGGGAGCAAACAGG